Molecule: ribosomal RNA, 263 nt
Filed under: uncultured bacterium
Lineage: Bacteria
Description: partial 16S ribosomal RNA
Rfam family: Bacterial small subunit ribosomal RNA
Source: RNAcentral
GUCCACGCCCUAAACUAUGUCAACUGGCUUUCCGGAGUAUCGACCCUCUGGGAGGCGAAGCUAACGCGUUAAGUUGACCGCCUGGGUAGUACGGUCGCAAGACUAAAACUCAAAGGAAUAGACGGGGCUUGCACAAGUGGUGGAGCGUGUGGCUCAAUUCGUCGCUAAGCGAAGAACCUUACCCAGACUAGAAAUCCUACUGCACGCCUAGCGAAAGCUAGGAAGCCUUCGAGGGUGUAGGACAGGUGAUGCAUGGCUGUCGU